AAGAACAAAGGAAGAACAAAGGGAAAAACAAGAAAACCUAGGUGGAAAUUUAAAGAAAAAGUGAAGAAAUCAAGGAAACAAGCUAAGUAAGUUAGAAUUUCUUUAAUUCUCCUAGAUACCUAGCUUACCCAUGCUUUUGUUCUUGAUUUCCAUGGUUGAAUAUUGAGUUAUCAUGAUGAAUUCAAUUCUGAAAAAUGGGUAUGGAAGAGGAAUUGUUGUUGGAAUAAUUCGAUUUUAGACUAUGUUAGUGUUUUUAGUUAGUUUAGCAUAUUUAGGAACAAAACAACAAGAAAAGAAUUUAUUUUCCUCCAUUACCAUUAUUGGCUGAAUUUUCUAGGGGAAUAUUGGCUCUGAUCUUGAUGUUUAUUUGAGCAAUUAUGAUGAAUAAUGAUGAAUUAUGAGCCUAGAAAAAUAAUGAGAAUUUUCGGAGCAAAAAUAUUAAUGUUUACCCACUAAGGGUAUUUUCGUAAUUUGCUAUCAAGACUGAUAAAUUGAAUCUCAUUCACAGUCACUAAGGUAAUUUAAGUAUAAUUGGAGUGUAGAAAGUGAGAAGAAUUGAUUUGGAGUUAAAUUGGAGAUAAUAGGCCGAAUUAGGUCAGCACCGCAUUUAAGCGGUAGUCGGAUAAGUUGUAUAUCAUAUCAUGUAUAUAUACCGAGCCUGAAUUGAUUUUAUAAUGGUCAAGCAUUGAUGUGGUGAAUUAUGUAUUAUACAUUGUGGAUAGGUGGUGAGCAAAGUACACUAGUAAAAGUACAGAGAUUGUGCUUGGAGAUUGGGAUUAGGAGUACAUCGACUCCUAGAACUGUGAGUGAACUUAUUAUCGUCUUAAUUAUCUAGAGUAGUUUUAUACAAUUGUGUGAUUUUAUGGAAAAUGAGUUUCAAUGGUAAAUUGCUAUGUUUUAGGAGAAAUUACGAUUUUAUAAAAUGAUUUUAUAAAUUUUUUGGAAAAAUCGAAUACUGGUUUUGAAAAUAGAGUAAUUAGAGACUGCCUGCUUGUGUUGUAAAUUUAUAGUUUUAAAUUGAAUGGCUUAUGACAAUAUAUGAGCAUGAAUGGCUAAACUGAUUUUGGUGUUAGAAUUAUUUGUACUGAGAAUUUAGCCUUGAGAGGCUAGGUUGCGAUAAAUUACCAUGUCAUGCUAGAAUGAAUUUAUUGAUUGGUGGAGUAUAUAUUAAUUAUUCACUGUAGAGGGGUUCCGUGGACUAGCCUAUUAGAGGGCCACGAUAAACUCCAUUAUAUUCUUACCUCGAAUGGAGAGUCGUGUAGGCUAUCUCUUGGAGUAAAGCUUAGGCUUCACUUCAUGCCAAACCACCACGUGAAGGGGAACUCAGCCAACGCCAAGGAACGGCUGUAUUUUUCUCAAACUAAAAAUAUAUUUUAAGUGUAUACAAAAAUUUUAACAGCCUUGGCAGACUCGGUUGGAUGCCCUGUGCAAGGUAUCACCGAGUAUGAGUUUUGGCAAGAGCCAAAGUUUUAAAAAAUUCAUAAGCCAAGUUGAUUACUCGAUUUAUAUGGAUUGAUUUUAUUUGGUUGAAAUGAGUUGAAAGGUAAUGAAAUUACAGUAUGAUGACUUAUUUCAAUUGUCUCCACUUACUCGACUUUAGAUAGUUUAGAUGGUAUCUGUUUACUCACUAGGAUUUUAUAAUCUCACCACCCUCAUUUCCUCACAUUUCAGGCUCGGAGAAUUUCAUAGUUAGCUGACUUUGACAAGGACCUUCAUUUGGACUCGAAUCGG
RNAcentral lists this long non-coding RNA (1731 nucleotides) under Theobroma cacao (cacao). RNAcentral's name for it is "long non-coding RNA (TCAC_LNC001600)". The record is from RNAcentral. Lineage: Eukaryota; Viridiplantae; Streptophyta; Magnoliopsida; Malvales; Malvaceae.